UACGUAGGGUGCAAGCGUUGUCCGGAAUUAUUGGGCGUAAAGAGCUCGUAGGCGGUCUGUCGCGUCGGAUGUGAAAAUCCAGGGCUCAACCCUGGACCUGCAUUCGAUACGGGCAGACUGGAGUUCGGUAGGGGAGACUGGAAUUCCUGGUGUAGCGGUGAAAUGCGCAGAUAUCAGGAGGAACACCUAUUGCGAAGGCAGCUCGCUGGGACGUAACUGACGCUGAGACGCGAAAGCGUGGGGAGCAAACAGG
This 253-nucleotide ribosomal RNA is filed under the name uncultured bacterium. RNAcentral describes it as "partial 16S ribosomal RNA". It matches the Rfam family "Bacterial small subunit ribosomal RNA", at positions 524 to 776 of the family's 1533-position model. The record is from RNAcentral.